UAGGGAAUCUUCCACAAUGGACGAAAGUCUGAUGGAGCAACGCUGCGUGAGUGAUGAAGGGUUUCGGCUCGUAAAACUCUGUUGUUGGAGAAGAACGGGUGUCAGAGUAACUGUUGACAUCGUGACGGUAUCCAACCAGAAAGCCACGGCUAACUACGUGCCAGCAGCCGCGGUAAUACGUAGGUGGCAAGCGUUGUCCGGAUUUAUUGGGCGUAAAGCGAGCGCAGGCGGUUUUUUAGGUCUGAUGUGAAAGCCUUCGGCUUAACCGGAGAAGUGCAUCGGAAACCGGGAGACUUGAGUGCAGAAGAGGACAGUGGAACUCCAUGUGUAGCGGUGAAAUGCGUAGAUAUAUGGAAGAACACCAGUGGCGAAGGCGGCUGUCUGGUCUGCAAACUGACGCUGAGGCUCGAAAGCAUGGGUAGCGAACAGGAUUAGAUACCCUGGUAGUCCAUGCC
Molecule: ribosomal RNA, 455 nt
Filed under: uncultured bacterium
Lineage: Bacteria
Description: partial 16S ribosomal RNA
Rfam family: Bacterial small subunit ribosomal RNA
Source: RNAcentral